GGAAACAAAGAUUUGUGUUACUAAGAUAUCUCAUAAAAGGUAGAGUAGCUGAGGUAUAAGUGGUACAACUUUUAACACUGUUUCCCUUAGUUUAAAAAAAAAAUAAAUUACUAGAGAAUUAAAAGAGAAAUAAGACUGUACCUGUAGGCUUGCCCUUCGCUGUCACUGAGCAUAGUGGCACUCCCACGCACGUGAUCUUCAUCUGAGAAGUCGGGGGUAUGAGAUGCCGAGCCCUUGCUUUGAGGAGUUGACUGAGCAGAACUUGAACUGAUGCUUUUGGAAAUCCCAUGGUGCUCAAGGAAGUAACUGAACCUGGUGAGAAGCAUGGACUCUCUCCAUUCAUAUGCUUGGAUGGAGAAAAUCGAGACAAAUUACCUUUCUACUGAGAAAUUCUCUCACCAGUGAUGCAGCCACUUCUUCCACAAAGGAGUUGUCCAUUUUUAGCCCAAAGUGUGCUUAGGGGGUGUAUCCUUUACUUCAUCUAACAAAUCAUUCAAGUCUGCCGGCAUUGCAGCUCUUCGGUGCGGCUUUUAACCACUGCAGUCCUGAAGCAGCGGCGGG
Molecule: long non-coding RNA, 561 nt
Organism: Colius striatus (speckled mousebird)
Lineage: Eukaryota; Metazoa; Chordata; Aves; Coliiformes; Coliidae
Exons: 3
Source: RefSeq, a predicted model, not a curated record